RNAcentral lists this long non-coding RNA (395 nucleotides) under Physcomitrium patens. Its description in RNAcentral is "long non-coding RNA (PPAT_LNC005359)". Lineage: Eukaryota; Viridiplantae; Streptophyta; Bryopsida; Funariales; Funariaceae. The record is from RNAcentral.
AUUGAAAAGUUAAGUGACAAACAAUGUCAACCUGUGUCGCAGCUGAAGUUUGUGACAGAUGCUUGGCUGCAGGUACUACAGUUUCUCCUCGUACUUGGAUAUGAUCGACGCAGCUUUUGUGAAGAAUCAUAUGAUAGCAAUGUUACCUGGUAGGUUUCCAUUGAGUCAUUAGAAAUGUUGAUGCCUUGUGCAGAUUGUAGAGUGCCGACGCGUAUUGAAAUGGACAUAUGCUUAUGGGUAUUACUUACCUGAGAACGAGCAUACGAAGAGGCAGUUCUUUGAAUAUUCUCAAGGUGAGGCAGAAGCUGGUUUAGAGCGCCUCCAUCAGUGUGCCGAGAAGGACUUGCAGACAUUCCUUGAAGGAGACAAUCCCACCAGCUCAUUCAAUGAUUUCC